Molecule: ribosomal RNA, 500 nt
Filed under: uncultured bacterium
Lineage: Bacteria
Description: partial 16S ribosomal RNA
Rfam family: Bacterial small subunit ribosomal RNA
Source: RNAcentral
AUUGAACGCUGGCGGCAGGCCUAACACAUGCAAGUCGAGCGGAUGAGAGGAGCUUGCUCCUCGAUUCAGCGGCGGACGGGUGAGUAAUGCCUAGGAAUCUGCCUAGUAGUGGGGGACAACGUUUCGAAAGGAACGCUAAUACCGCAUACGUCCUACGGGAGAAAGUGGGGGAUCUUCGGACCUCACGCUAUUAGAUGAGCCUAGGUCGGAUUAGCUAGUUGGUAGGGUAACGGCCUACCAAGGCGACGAUCCGUAACUGGUCUGAGAGGAUGAUCAGUCAAACUGGAACUGAGACACGGUCCAGACUCCGACGGGAGGCAGCAGUGGGGAAUAUUGGACAAUGGGCGAAAGCCUGAUCCAGCCAUGCCGCGUGUGUGAAGAAGGCCCUCGGGUCGUAAAGCACUUUAAGUUGGGAGGAAGGGCUUACAGCGAAUACCUGUGAGUUUUGACGUUACCGACAGAAUAAGCACCGGCUAACUUCGUGCCAGCAGCCGCGGUAA